AUACGGAGGAUCCGAGCGUUAUCCGGAUUUAUUGGGUUUAAAGGGUGCGCAGGCGGCCAUUUAAGUCAGCGGUUAAAUCGUGGGGCUCAACCCCAUUCAGCCGUUGAUACUGGGUGGCUUGAUUGCGGUCGAGGUUGGCGGAAUUCGUUGUGUAGCGGUGAAAUGCAUAGAUAUGACGAAGAACACCGAUUGCGUAGGCAGCUGACCAGAUCGCAAAUGACGCUCAUGCACGAAAGUGCGGGGAUCGAACAGGAUUAGAUACCCUGGUAGUCUGCGCAGUAAACGAUGAAUACUUGUUUUCGGCGAUAUAAUGUCGGAGGCAAAGCGAAAGCGAUAAGUAUUCCACCUGGGGAGUACGCCGGCAACGGUGAAACUCAAAGGAAUUGACGGGG
Molecule: ribosomal RNA, 392 nt
Filed under: uncultured bacterium
Lineage: Bacteria
Description: partial 16S ribosomal RNA
Rfam family: Bacterial small subunit ribosomal RNA
Source: RNAcentral